This 508-nucleotide ribosomal RNA is filed under the name uncultured bacterium. Its description in RNAcentral is "partial 16S ribosomal RNA". It matches the Rfam family "Bacterial small subunit ribosomal RNA", at positions 28 to 523 of the family's 1533-position model. The record is from RNAcentral.
GAUGAACGCUAGCUACAGGCUUAACACAUGCAAGUCGAGGGGUAACGACAUCGAAAGCUUGCUUUUGAUGGGCGUCGACCGGCGCACGGGUGAGUAACGCGUAUCCAACCUGCCCACCACUUGGGGAUAACCUUGCGAAAGUAAGACUAAUACCCAAUGAUAUCUCUAGAAGACAUCUGAAAGAGAUUAAAGAUUUAUCGGUGAUGGAUGGGGAUGCGUCUGAUUAGCUUGUUGGCGGGGUAACGGCCCACCAAGGCUACGAUCAGUAGGGGUUCUGAGAGAAAGGUCCCCCACAUUGGAACUGAGACACCGUCCAAACUCCUAGGGGAGGCAGCAGUGAGGAAUAUUGGUCAAGGGGCGAGAGCCUGAACCAGCCAAGUAGCGUGCAGGAUGACGGCCCUAUGGGUUGUAAACUGCUUUUAUAAGGGAAUAAAGUGAGCCUCGUGAGGCUUUUUGCAUGUACCUUAUGAAUAAGGACCGGCUAAUUCCGUGCCAGCCGCCGCCGUAA